Molecule: unclassified non-coding RNA, 166 nt
Organism: Gopherus agassizii (Agassiz's desert tortoise)
Lineage: Eukaryota; Metazoa; Chordata; Testudines; Testudinidae
Source: Ensembl
UUGAAAGCCCUGGAAUCAACGCCCUCUAUUUAUUUACAGAACAGGCACAACACAGGCAUCACCAUUGCAAGCUUCAGAAUGCUGCCCAUGCCGAUGUGCCUCAAUUUUGACCACCUCUUGGGGUGAGAGGAUAGUUCCGUCUGUGCCCAUUCAAGCCUUGGCCUUU